This 253-nucleotide ribosomal RNA is filed under the name uncultured prokaryote. RNAcentral describes it as "partial 16S ribosomal RNA". It matches the Rfam family "Bacterial small subunit ribosomal RNA", at positions 525 to 777 of the family's 1533-position model. The record is from RNAcentral.
ACGUAGGGUGCAGGCGUUAAUCGGAAUUACUGGGCGUAAAGCGUGCGCAGGCGGCUUCUCAAGUCAGAUGUGAAAUCCCCGGGCUUAACCUGGGAACUGCGUUUGAAACUGGGAGGCUAGAGUGCGGCAGAGGGGGAUGGAAUUCCGCGUGUAGCAGUGAAAUGCGUAGAUAUGCGGAGGAACACCGAUGGCGAAGGCAAUCCCCUGGGCCUGCACUGACGCUCAUGCACGAAAGCGUGGGGAGCAAACAGGA